Molecule: ribosomal RNA, 495 nt
Filed under: uncultured bacterium
Lineage: Bacteria
Description: partial 16S ribosomal RNA
Rfam family: Bacterial small subunit ribosomal RNA
Source: RNAcentral
GACGAACGCUGGCGGCGUGCCUAAUACAUGCAAGUAGAACGCUGAAGGAGGAGCUUGCUUCUCCGGAUGAGUUGCGAACGGGUGAGUAACGCGUAGGUAACCUGCCUGGUAGCGGGGGAUAACUAUUGGAAACGAUAGCUAAUACCGCAUAACAGUAGAUGUUGCAUGACAUUUGCUUAAAAGGUGCAAUUGCAUCACUACCAGAUGGACCUGCGUUGUAUUAGCUAGUUGGUGAGGUAACGGCUCACCAAGGCGACGAUACAUAGCCGACCUGAGAGGGUGAUCGGCCACACUGGGACUGAGACAUGGCCCAGACUCCUACGGGAGGCAGCAGUAGGGAAUCUUCGGCAAUGGACGGAAGUCUGACCGAGCAACGCCGCGUGAGUGAAGAAGGUUUUCGGAUCGUAAAGCUCUGUUGUAAGAGAAGAACGAGUGUGAGAGUGGAAAGUUCACACUGUGACGGUAUCUUACCAGAAAGGGACGGCUAACUACGUG